RNAcentral lists this ribosomal RNA (561 nucleotides) under uncultured Bacillota bacterium. Its description in RNAcentral is "bacterial SSU rRNA". It matches the Rfam family "Bacterial small subunit ribosomal RNA", at positions 338 to 917 of the family's 1533-position model. The record is from RNAcentral. Lineage: Bacteria; Bacillati; Bacillota.
CCUACGGGAGGCAGCAGUGGGGAAUCUUGCACAAUGGGGGAAACCCUGAUGCAGCGACGCCGCGUGAGCGAUGAAGCCCUUCGGGGUGUAAAGCUCUUUCGACGGGAACGAUAAUGACGGUACCCGGAGAAGAAGCUGCGGCUAACUACGUGCCAGCAGCCGCGGUAAUACGUAGGCAGCAAGCGUUGUUCGGAGUUACUGGGCGUAAAGAGUGCGUAGGCGGUGCCCUAAGUCUGUUGUGAAAUCUCCUGGCUCAACUGGGAGGGUGCGGUGGAAACUGGGGUGCUUGAGAGUGGGAGAGGUUAGCGGAAUUCCUGGUGUAGCGGUGAAAUGCGUAGAUAUCAGGAGGAACACCGGUGGUGUAGACGGCUGACUGGACCACGACUGACGCUGAGGCACGAAAGCGUGGGUAGCAAACAGGAUUAGAUACCCUGGUAGUCCACGCCCUAAACGAUGCAUACUUGGUGUGAGCCAUUCAUUUGGUUCGUGCCGGAGCUAACGCGUUAAGUAUGCCGCCUGGGGAGUACGGUCGCAAGGCUGAAACUCAAAUGAAUUGACGGA